RNAcentral lists this ribosomal RNA (468 nucleotides) under uncultured bacterium. RNAcentral's name for it is "partial 16S ribosomal RNA". It matches the Rfam family "Bacterial small subunit ribosomal RNA", at positions 28 to 507 of the family's 1533-position model. The record is from RNAcentral.
GACGAACGCUGGCGGCGUGCUUAACACAUGCAAGUCGAACGGAAAGGCCCUGCUUUUGUGGGGUGCUCGAGUGGCGAACGGGUGAGUAACACGUGAGUAACCUGCCCUUGACUUUGGGAUAACUUCAGGAAACUGGGGCUAAUACCGGAUAGGAGCUCCUGCUGCAUGGUGGGGGUUGGAAAGUUUCGGCGGUUGGGGAUGGACUCGCGGCUUAUCAGCUUGUUGGUGGGGUAGUGGCUUACCAAGGCUUCGACGGGUAGCCGGCCUGAGAGGGUGACCGGCCACAUUGGGACUGAGGUACGGCCCAGACUCCUACGGGAGGCAGCAGUGGGGAAUAUUGCACAGUGGGCGGAAGCCUGAUGCAGCAACGCCGCGUGCGGGAUGACGGCCUUCGGGUUGUAAACCGCUUUCGCCUGUGACGAAGCGUGAGUGACGGUAAUGGGUAAAGAAGCACCGGCUAACUACGUG